UCUUCUGGCAAAAUCAGCAAA
RNAcentral lists this non-coding RNA (21 nucleotides) under Caenorhabditis elegans. Lineage: Eukaryota; Metazoa; Nematoda; Chromadorea; Rhabditida; Rhabditidae. The record is from RNAcentral.